CACAUUCUUUUUCAAAAGCAUAUUUAAUUUGUUUAUCCUACAUUAUCCAUGGCAGUUCGAUAAAAGAUGUAUAUGUUAUUGGUUCUUGCUCAUGCUCUUUUCUUAUGUCUGUGUUCAGGCCUAACCUCACCAAACUUUGCUACACUUCACAUCAUGAGGGAACGAAGCAGAUGCGUCCAUCGCAACCUCAAGCAAAUCAGAUGACAAGGUGUUUGGAGCAAGCUAAUCAUAGCCAACUACAUAGUUUUGUACUAUGUUGUAUUAAAGCAGUGUAAACAACUUAUAUGGCCUGCUUUUGGUAUAUCAUACCGAACCUUGAUCUUUAGGUAUUUCAUGCUACAUUUUUUAACAAAUGCACCAAUGGUUUGUAACGAGAUUUGAUGUUUUGCAUUGUACCAUUACUGCUGUAAGUAAAUAU
This is a non-coding RNA of Aegilops tauschii subsp. strangulata, 418 nucleotides long. NCBI's taxonomy places the organism in Eukaryota, Viridiplantae, Streptophyta, Magnoliopsida, Poales, Poaceae. The record is from RefSeq and is a predicted model, not a curated record.